GGAUUGUGGCUCAGAGGUAGAGUGCCCUCCUAGUAUGUGUGAGGCAUUGGGUUCGAUCCUCAGCACCA
This 68-nucleotide transfer RNA is filed under the name Marmota monax (woodchuck). RNAcentral's name for it is "tRNA.Thr". Lineage: Eukaryota; Metazoa; Chordata; Mammalia; Rodentia; Sciuridae. The record is from RNAcentral.